CAGCCGCCGCGGUAACACGUAGGUGGCAAGCGUUGUCCGGAAUUAUUGGGCGUAAAGGGCUCGCAGGCGGUUUCUUAAGUCUGAUGUGAAAGCCCCCGGCUCAACCGGGGAGGGUCAUUGGAAACUGGGAAACUUGAGUGCAGAAGAGGAGAGUGGAAUUCCACGUGUAGCGGUGAAAUGCGUAGAGAUGUGGAGGAACACCAGUGGCGAAGGCGACUCUCUGGUCUGUAACUGACGCUGAGGAGCGAAAGCGUGGGGAGCGAACAGGAUUAGAUACCCCUGUAGUCCCUGUCUCUUAUAC
Molecule: ribosomal RNA, 301 nt
Filed under: uncultured bacterium
Lineage: Bacteria
Description: partial 16S ribosomal RNA
Rfam family: Bacterial small subunit ribosomal RNA
Source: RNAcentral